UACGAAGGUCCCAAGCGUUGUUCGGAAUCACUGGGCGUAAAGGGAGCGUAGGCGGCGCGGUAAGUCAGAUGUGAAAUCCCGGGGCUCAACCCCGGAACUGCAUCCGAUACUGCCGUGCUCGAGGAUUGGAGAGGUAGCUGGAAUUCUUGGUGUAGCAGUGAAAUGCGUGGAUAUCAAGAGGAACACUCGUGGCGAAAGCGAGCUACUGGACAACUCCUGACGCUGAGGCUCGAAGGCCAGGGGAGCAAACGGG
RNAcentral lists this ribosomal RNA (253 nucleotides) under uncultured bacterium. Its description in RNAcentral is "partial 16S ribosomal RNA". It matches the Rfam family "Bacterial small subunit ribosomal RNA", at positions 524 to 776 of the family's 1533-position model. The record is from RNAcentral.